This 492-nucleotide ribosomal RNA is filed under the name uncultured bacterium. RNAcentral's name for it is "partial 16S ribosomal RNA". It matches the Rfam family "Bacterial small subunit ribosomal RNA", at positions 29 to 507 of the family's 1533-position model. The record is from RNAcentral.
AGUGAACGCUGGCGGUAGGCCUAACACAUGCAAGUCGAACGGCAGCACAGUAAGAGCUUGCUCUUACGGGUGGCGAGUGGCGGACGGGUGAGGAAUACAUCGGAAUCUACUUUUUCGUGGGGGAUAACGUAGGGAAACUUACGCUAAUACCGCAUACGACCUACGGGUGAAAGCAGGGGAUCUUCGGACCUUGCGCGAUUGAAUGAGCCGAUGUCGGAUUAGCUAGUUGGCGGGGUAAAGGCCCACCAAGGCGACGAUCCGUAGCUGGUCUGAGAGGGUGAUCAGCCACACUGGAACUGAGACACGGUCCAGACUCCUACGGGAGGCAGCAGUGGGGAAUAUUGGACAAUGGGCGCAAGCCUGAUCCAGCCAUACCGAGUGGGUGAAGAAGGCCUUCGGGUUGUAAAGCCCUUUUGUUGGGAAAGAAAAGCAGCAGGUUAAUACCCCGCUGUUCUGACGGUACCCAAAGAAUAAGCACCGGCUAACUUCGUG